AAAGAGAAAGGCACUACUCCAAGAAGCGAAAAGGGUUUUAUGUUGAGAUUUCAACAAAAAUCUCAUCAAAAAGCAGAUUUGACAUCAUAUCUUGUGUUUAUUCCCAAGAUUAAAUCUUCAGCAUAUCCACACACUCCCCCCUGACGCGGAUCACAGACUAUUAUGAACUCGUUCUUCCAGAUUGAUGUUCCUUAUAUCUGCCCGAAUAGGAGUGCCACAAAAGGAGGGUCAAGGGCUUCACCGGUUAACCGCUUUGACGAGGUACCCUAUAAUGCCUCUUGCCUGGGAGAAAGAACCUUUCACCUCAUCUCAGUGUCAAAAUUUAACCUUUCUCAACUUUAAUUACACUAAGUAAGUUUGGAGUGUGCCGCGGUGCUGUCUGCACGACUCAGCUCCAUCCU
This 401-nucleotide long non-coding RNA is filed under the name Oryzias sinensis (Chinese medaka). RNAcentral describes it as "lncRNA (ENSOSIG00000006879.1)". The record is from RNAcentral. Lineage: Eukaryota; Metazoa; Chordata; Actinopteri; Beloniformes; Adrianichthyidae.